RNAcentral lists this transfer RNA (83 nucleotides) under Podarcis lilfordi (Lilford's wall lizard). RNAcentral's name for it is "tRNA.Ile". The stretch from base 17 to 75 matches the Rfam family "tRNA", at positions 8 to 63 of the family's 71-position model. From Rfam's summary of the family: Transfer RNA (tRNA) molecules are approximately 80 nucleotides in length. Their secondary structure includes four short double-helical elements and three loops (D, anti-codon, and T loops). The record is from RNAcentral. Lineage: Eukaryota; Metazoa; Chordata; Lepidosauria; Squamata; Lacertidae.
GCUCUGUUAUCCUGGAUAGCUCAGAUGGUUAGAGCACGGUGCUGAUAAUGCUAAGGUUACAGGUUCAAUCCCUGUAUGGGACA